RNAcentral lists this long non-coding RNA (2257 nucleotides) under Cyanistes caeruleus (blue tit). RNAcentral describes it as "lncRNA (ENSCCEG00000004922.1)". The record is from RNAcentral. Lineage: Eukaryota; Metazoa; Chordata; Aves; Passeriformes; Paridae.
CGGCCGCUCCCCGGGCCGCGGCCGCCGGCCCCAUCCCGCGGGAAGCGGGCGGGGGUUAUGUAAGCGUGUGCGUAGGGAGCGUCUCCCGGAGCAGCGGAGCUCCGGAGGUCCCUUCCAGCCCUGACGAUUCUGUGACGCGGGCCGAGGGCUCGGUGCCGUCGGGACGUGCUGGUCAAAAGGAACCCCCGGGCAAGAGAGAGCCGCUCGGCCGUGCGGCGCUGCCGCACCCAAAGAGGCUGUCGAGCAGCAGAACGACUUAAAAUGGUCCCUCUCGCACCGUUAGUAAAGUCAUUACUAAAAGGUGAAUUUCUCACGCCUGUUAAUUACAGAGCUCGAGCCGCCGCCGGUGUGCUGCCCGCACAGCGGGUUUCCCUGGACCUGCUCCUUGGCUGCACCGGAGGCCGACGGGGGCAUGGCACUGACAGGAUUCAGUACAACCCUCUGGAGCCUUAGCAGGGCAGCUCUAGUUGCAGCUCUGAAAAUAAACCUCCACCUGUGGAUUUCAGCUCAAAUCUACAGCUUCCAGAGUGUUCACGGACAAGUGGGUAGCAACAGCAAGAGCGGUCUUAUUAGAGAGAUAAAAGGGAGUACAAGACAAGUAAAAAGGCAGAGGAUCCAAAUCAGCAGUAAGGACCUUUCUUAACUUGGACAAUUCCAGACAGUACUUUAAGAACUGUCAUUUUUCUUUCUCCUAAAAUAUUUUUUCUGCUAAGAUACACAGAAAGUAGAAGUCAGCAAGAAGACGCACAGGCAUCAUAGAUUUUUUCCCUUCAUGCUUUUCUUUCCUCACUUCAAAUGACAUAAUAAACAUAGUAAUAGAAUCACAGAAUCAUUUAGGUUGGAAAAGACCUCUGAGGCCAACUUUUUACUGACCACCACCAUCUCAGCUUGGCCAUGGCACUGAGUUCCACUUCCAGUUGUUUACUGAACACCUCCACAGAUGGUGGCUUCAUCACCUCCCUGGACAGCUCAUUCCAAUGCUUAACAACCCUGUCUGUGAAAAACUUUCUCCUGCUGUCCAACCUGAACCUCCCCUUGUGCAGCUUGAGGCUCUGUCCUCUCAUCCUGUCACAGCUUACCUGGGAGAAGUAUCACCACCAUCAGGCCAUACCUGAUGAUCAAGCUCUCCACAAGGCUGCCACACUGAAGAUAGCCCUGAAUAAAGUCCAGCAUCAACCAAUCUUCUUGGGAAUACUGAGGUUGAAACUGCCCUUCCUCACUAGACCUUGUGGUUUCAUAAACAAAUUGCAGCCAUGAAAAGCAUCAGUGUCUAGGGUGUUCUGUUGCUACAGGCUAAAUAACAAUUACAGUAUAUCAUUAGCAUAUCAUUAUGUCAAAACACUAUUUGUCUCUAUCUGGCCAUGCCUUCUAUGCGAGACAGUUUGUUCUUGACUCAGAAGAGAGAGAAAGAACAUAUUAAUGUAUAAUUAAUAUUGUAUUAGGAUAUAUUAAUAUAUAAUAGAUGCAGACUAUAUUAAUUAAAAUGUCAGAUCUCAAGGGAAGAGCCACUCCAACUUAGUUGAAAUAGAAAAUAGAAUGACAGUUAAUCAAAGAACUCAUACAAGUAAACCUCUCUACAGUGUUCUCUUGUGAAUAACUUUUUUUAAACAAUAUUGCAAAUUUAUCCCAGACUGCGAAUGCAAAAAUGAAGAGAGUGGGGAGAAGACAGAAGGGAAAAAAGAUAACACAAAGGCAUGAAAUGAAAAAAACAAAGAAGGAAGUAUACGUUAUAUUUUCUCUUACAAAUUAGAAGCUAUUUUUUUAGAUGCAUAUUUUUGACAUCAUUGUUUGCAUUAUACUCACAGACUUCGUUAACUGCUCUUGGAACAGCUGUUAUUCAGGAGACCAAGCUUGAACCCUGCUCCUAGAGCAAAGUUUCUUUCUAUAGCAUUUCUCUUCUUCAUUAGCUCUUUUUCACAGAUCCAGCACAGACUACUGAACAUGUAGCUUACAAAAGAAAGGUUCACAUAGACGACAGCAGUGGUUUUCACUCUCUGAAAGAUGUGAUUGUGCAGACUUGGAGUUAGUUAAAAAAUCCUAACACCUCUAGUAAAAUAUUUCUAGUCUAGAAAUCAUUUAUAUGACUGCUGAUUUGUUACUCUAGAUAAGAAAUAUAAGUAGAUAUGGCUAAAAAAAAUUAAGAUAGAGGAAGAUAGCUCUCACCAUCACAGCUCAGUGAACUUCUGAAAAGCCACCAGAAAAGCAAUAUAAGCCAAAUGACUAUAUGUAAUUGUGUAAUAAGGCAGUGAUGAUAUAU